This 66-nucleotide transfer RNA is filed under the name Haematopinus asini. RNAcentral's name for it is "tRNA-Glu". The record is from RNAcentral. Lineage: Eukaryota; Metazoa; Arthropoda; Insecta; Psocodea; Haematopinidae.
UUUUCAGAAGUUUAAUUUGUAAAUGGCUUAAUUUCACUAAGCAGACUGGGUCGCCCCCCUGAAAAA